UGUGGGAGCGGGCUUGCUCGCGAAUGCGGGGUGUCAGCCAAUAUCUAUGUCACUGACAGAUUGCCUCCGCGAGCAAGCCCGCUCCCACA
This 89-nucleotide non-coding RNA is filed under the name Pseudomonas sp. SJZ075. The record is from RNAcentral. Lineage: Bacteria; Pseudomonadati; Pseudomonadota; Gammaproteobacteria; Pseudomonadales; Pseudomonadaceae. RNAcentral also lists the same sequence under 3 other names.